UGGGGAAUAUUGGACAAUGGGCGAAAGCCUGAUCCAGCCAUGCCGCGUGAGUGAUGAAGGCCCUAGGGUUGUAAAGCUCUUUUGUGCGGGAAGAUAAUGACGGUACCGCAAGAAUAAGCCCCGGCUAACUUCGUGCCAGCAGCCGCGGUAAUACGAAGGGGGCUAGCGUUGCUCGGAAUCACUGGGCGUACAGGGUGCGUAGGCGGGUUUCUAAGUCAGAGGUGAAAGCCUGGAGCUCAACUCCAGGACUGCCUUUGAUACUGGAAGUCUUGAGUUCGGGAGAGGUGAGUGGAACUGCGAGUGUAGAGGUGAAAUUCGUAGAUAUUCGCAAGAACACCAGUGGCGAAGGCGGCUCACUGGCCCGAUACUGACGCUGAGGCACGAAAGCGUGGGGAGCAAACA
This 402-nucleotide ribosomal RNA is filed under the name uncultured bacterium. Its description in RNAcentral is "bacterial SSU rRNA". It matches the Rfam family "Bacterial small subunit ribosomal RNA", at positions 355 to 774 of the family's 1533-position model. The record is from RNAcentral.